This 254-nucleotide ribosomal RNA is filed under the name uncultured bacterium. RNAcentral's name for it is "partial 16S ribosomal RNA". It matches the Rfam family "Bacterial small subunit ribosomal RNA", at positions 524 to 776 of the family's 1533-position model. The record is from RNAcentral.
UACAGAGGGGGCAAGCGUUGUUCGGAUUUACUGGGCGUAAAGGGCGCGUAGGCGGUCGUGACAAGUCACUUGUGAAAUCUCCGGGCUUAACUCGGAACGGUCAAGUGAUACUGUCGGACUAGAGUACAGAAGGGGCAACUGGAAUUCUCGGUGUAGCGGUGAAAUGCGUAGAUAUCGAGAGGAACACCUGCGGCGAAGGCGGGUUGCUGGGCUGAUACUGACGCUGAGGCGCGAAAGCCAGGGGAGCGAACGGG